UACAGAGGUCCCAAGCGUUGUUCGGAUUUACUGGGCGUAAAGGGUGCGUAGGUGGCGAGGUAAGUUCCAUGUGAAAUCUCCGAGCUCAACUCGGAAAUGGCAUUGAAUACUAUCCCGCUUGAGGGUCGGAGGGGAGACUUGAAUUCUCGGUGUAGCAGUGAAAUGCGUAGAUAUCAGGAGGAACACCGAUGGCGAAGGCAGGUCUCUGGGCUGACACUGACGCUCAUGCACGAAAGCGUGGGGAGCAAACAGG
This 253-nucleotide ribosomal RNA is filed under the name uncultured bacterium. RNAcentral's name for it is "partial 16S ribosomal RNA". It matches the Rfam family "Bacterial small subunit ribosomal RNA", at positions 524 to 776 of the family's 1533-position model. The record is from RNAcentral.